CUACGGGUCGCUGCAGUGGGGAAUAUUGCACAAUGGAGGAAACUCUGAUGCAGCAACGCCGCGUGGAGGAUGACACUUUUCGGAGCGUAAACUCCUUUUAUAUAGGAAGAAGAUGACGGUACUAUAUGAAUAAGCGCCGGCUAACUCCGUGCCAGCAGCCGCGGUAAUACGGAGGGCGCAAGCGUUACUCGGAAUCACUGGGCGUAAAGAGCGUGUAGGCGGCUUAAAAAGUCAGAAGUGAAAUCCUAUAGCUUAACUAUAGAACUGCUUCUGAAACUCUUAAUCUAGAAUAUGGGAGAGGUAGAUGGAAUUUCUGGUGUAGGGGUAAAAUCCGUAGAGAUCAGAAGGAAUACCGAUUGCGAAGGCGAUCUACUAGAACAUUAUUGACGCUGAGACGUGAAAGCGUGGGGAGCAAACAGGAUUAGAUACCCGGGUAGUC
This 439-nucleotide ribosomal RNA is filed under the name uncultured bacterium. RNAcentral's name for it is "partial 16S ribosomal RNA". It matches the Rfam family "Bacterial small subunit ribosomal RNA", at positions 339 to 795 of the family's 1533-position model. The record is from RNAcentral.